AUAGCAAAGAGGGUGAAAGGCCCGUAAAAGAAACAAUCAAUGUGUUACGGGAAUGGAGUCACGAGAACCCCGAAGCACGGGAAAGGUUGGGGGAAUAUGGGAGGACCACCUUCCAAGGCUAAAUACGUGCCGUCGACCGAUAGUGAACAAGUACCGUGAGGGAAAGGCGAAAAGAACCCCUGUGAGGGGAGUGAAAUAGAACCUGAAACUGUCUGCCUGCAACCUGUGGAAGGGCUAUAUCUUCUUCGGAAGAAAUGCCUGACCGCGUGCCUUUUGCAUAAUGAUCCGGCGAGUUAUCUUCAGUGGCAAGGUUAAGCCGAUUAGGUGUAGCCGUAGCGAAAGCGAGUCUGAAUAGGGCGUUUAGUCACUGGGGGUAGACCCGAAGCGAGUCGAUCUAUCCAUGACCAGGGUGAAGCAGAGAGAAAACCUCCGUGGAGGCCCGAACCGGUUAGGGUUGAAAACCUAUCGGAUGAGUUGUGGAUCGGAGUGAAAGGCUAAUCAAGACUCGUGAUAGCUGGUUCUCCUCGAAAUAUAUUUAGGUAUAGCCUCACGUGAUGGCGUAUGGAGGUAGAGCACUGAAUGGACUAGGGGGUCGAAAGAUCUACCAAACCCAAUCAAACUCCGAAUACCAUAUUGCUUAGCGUGGGAGUCAGUCCAUGGGAGAUAAGUUCCAUGGGCGAAAGGGAAACACCCCAGAUCGUCAGCUAAGGCCCCAAAAUCCGGGCUAAGUGGGAAAGGAUGUGAAGUCGCAUAGACACCCAGGAGGUAGGCUUAGAAGCAGCCACCCUUUAAAGAGUGCGUAACUGCCCACUGGUCGAUGCGGCUUCGCGCCGAAAAUGUAACGGGGCUUAAGCCCGGUGCCGAAGCUACGGGUUGUACUUUAUAGUGCAGCGGUAGAGGAGCGUUCUCAACGGAUUGAAGGGUUACCGUAAGGAGGCUUGGACUGUUGAGAAGUGAGAAUGCCGGAAUGAGUAGCGAUAAAGAUGGUGAGAAUCCAUCUCGCCGUAAACCUAAGGUUUCCUGGGCAAGGCUCGUCCUCCCAGGGUAAGUCGGGUCCUAAGGUGAGGCCGAAAGGCGUAGUCGAUGGAAAACAGGUUAAUAUUCCUGUACCACUCAAUUGGAGCGAAGUGGUGACGGAGGAGGGUAGGUCAGCCAGGUGCUGGAUUACCUGGUUCAAGCUCGUAGGGGGAAGAGAUAGGUAAAUCCGUUUCUUCAUUAACCCUGAGAAGUGAGUACGAGGGGCAAUUCUGCCCCAUAAAGUGAUUGAUCCCAUACUUCCAAGAAAAACCUCGUAGUGUUGAUGAUUGAGUGCCCGUACCGUAAACGGACACACGUAGGUGAGUUGAGAAUACUAAGGCGCGUGAGAGAACUUUGGCUAAGGAACUCGGCAAAAUUGCCCCGUAACUUCGGAAUAAGGGGUGCCCACAUUAAGUGAAAGCCCUGCGGCUGGAGCUGAAGUGGGUCACAGCAAAGAGGUGGUGACGACUGUUUACCAAAAACACAGGGCUCUGCAAAGGCGUAAGCCGACGUAUAGGGCCUGACACCUGCCCGGUGCCGGACGGUUAAAGGGAAUUGUUAUCCUAGCUUGCUAGGAGAAGCUCUGAACUGAAGCCCCGGUAAACGGCGGCCGUAACUAUAACGGUCCUAAGGUAGCGAAAUUCCUUGUCGGGUAAGUUCCGACCUGCAUGAAAGGUGUAACGAUUGCCACGCUGUCUCGGCCAAAGACUCAGCGAAAUUGUGGUUCCGGUGAAGACGCCGGAUACCCGCUACGGGACGGAAAGACCCCGUGCACCUUUACUAUAACUUAGCGCUGAAUUUUGGUGCUGCACGCGUAGCAUAG
RNAcentral lists this ribosomal RNA (1840 nucleotides) under marine metagenome. Its description in RNAcentral is "bacterial LSU rRNA". It matches the Rfam family "Bacterial large subunit ribosomal RNA", at positions 352 to 2146 of the family's 2925-position model. The record is from RNAcentral.